RNAcentral lists this ribosomal RNA (464 nucleotides) under uncultured bacterium. Its description in RNAcentral is "partial 16S ribosomal RNA". It matches the Rfam family "Bacterial small subunit ribosomal RNA", at positions 28 to 507 of the family's 1533-position model. The record is from RNAcentral.
GACGAACGCUGGCGGCGUGCUUAACACAUGCAAGUCGAACGAUGAAGCCAGCUUUCUGUUGGGUUAUUGGCUAACGGGUGGGUAACACGUGGGUGAUCUGCCCCAAACUUUGUUAUAAGCCUGGGAAACUGGGUCUAAUACCUAAUGUGACCGAUACUCUCAUGGGUGUUGGUGGAAAGCUCCGGCGGUUGGGGAUGGACCCGCGGCCUAUCAGCUUGUUGGUGGGGUAAUGGCCUACCAAGGCGACGACGGGUAGCCGGCCUGAGAGGGCGACCGGCCACACUGGGACUGAGACACGGCCCAGACUCCUACGGGAGGCAGCAGUGGGGAAUAUUGCACAAUGGGCGGAAGCCUGAUGCAGCGACGCCGCGUGCGGGAUGACGGCCUUCGGGUUGUAAACCUCUUUCACCAGGGACGAAGCGAAAGUGACGGUAACUGGAGAAGAAGCACCGGCCAACUACGUG